GUGUCAGCAGCCGCGGUAAUACAGAGGGUGCAAGCGUUGUUCGGAAUUACUGGGCGUAAAGCGCGUGUAGGCUGCAAUAUAAGUCGGAUGUGAAAGCCCUCGGCUCAACCGAGGAAGUGCAUCCGAUACUGUAUCGCUAGAGUGUCGGAGGGGAUGGCGGAAUUCCCGGUGUAGAGGUGAAAUUCGUAGAUAUCGGGAGGAACACCUGUGGCGAAGGCGGCCAUCUGGACGACAACUGACGCUGAGACGCGAAAGCGUGGGUAGCAAACAGGAUUAGAUACCCUAGUAGUCC
This 292-nucleotide ribosomal RNA is filed under the name uncultured bacterium. Its description in RNAcentral is "partial 16S ribosomal RNA". It matches the Rfam family "Bacterial small subunit ribosomal RNA", at positions 505 to 796 of the family's 1533-position model. The record is from RNAcentral.